GCGUUUUCUAAGACAACGUGAUGACAAUGAGUCAUGUGAAACAUAUUGGCGAUGUCUCGGAGAAGUUUCGACGCUAGGAAGACACAGCGUCCGGAGAAGAACCGGACGAUGAAACGCCAAACGGACUGCACAGAAUGCUUCUUCCGAUUUUAAGAGGAGCUAGAGGAACCUGAGAAACAUGGUUAAGACGAGUAUAAAGAUUAGGAUCGUUUGGUGAAGAGGAAAAUGGUACAUGCCGCGAUCUACAUGGACGGAGGUGUCAUCUUCUCUGAGAAAAUACAGGUGUGAGGUGGUCAACAAAACGCCAUGUUCCCUGUUGUCCGUGAGUGCAUCGCAAAUUCAACAAAAGCACAUGCCUUGUCUGAACGCAGUUACUUCACAGCUGCCUC
This is a long non-coding RNA of Ornithodoros turicata, 389 nucleotides long. RefSeq lists it as uncharacterized. The record is from RefSeq and is a predicted model, not a curated record. The transcript has 3 exons. NCBI's taxonomy places the organism in Eukaryota, Metazoa, Arthropoda, Arachnida, Ixodida, Argasidae.